AUUGAACGCUGGCGGCAGGCUUAACACAUGCAAGUCGAGCGGGGUGAUGGUGCUUGCACUAUCACUUAGCGGCGGACGGGUGAGUAAUGCUUAGGAAUCUGCCUAUUAGUGGGGGACAACAUCUCGAAGGGGAUGCUAAUACCGCAUACGUCCUACGGGAGAAAGCAGGGGAUCUUCGGACCUUGCGCUAAUAGAUGAGCCUAAGUCGGAUUAGCUAGUUGGUGGGGUAAAGGCCUACCAAGGCGACGAUCUGUAGCGGGUCUGAGAGGAUGAUCCGCCACACUGGGACUGAAACACGGCCCAGACUCCUACGGGAGGCAGCAGUGGGGAAUAUUGGACAAUGGGGGGAACCCUGAUCCAGCCAUGCCGCGUGUGUGAAGAAGGCCUUAUGGUUGUAAAGCACUUUAAGCGAGGAGGAGGCUACUCUAGUUAAUACCUGGGGAUAGUGGACGUUACUCGCAGAAUAAGCACCGGCUAACUCUGUGCCAGCCGCCGCCGUAA
RNAcentral lists this ribosomal RNA (501 nucleotides) under uncultured bacterium. RNAcentral describes it as "partial 16S ribosomal RNA". It matches the Rfam family "Bacterial small subunit ribosomal RNA", at positions 30 to 523 of the family's 1533-position model. The record is from RNAcentral.